GGAGACGUGGGUGAGUGGCUUAAACCACACCCUUGCUAAGGGUGCGAAGAGUAAAAUCUUCCAUGAGUUCAAAUCUCAUCGUCUCCGCCA
This 90-nucleotide transfer RNA is filed under the name Bdellovibrionales bacterium. RNAcentral's name for it is "tRNA-Ser". It matches the Rfam family "tRNA". Rfam says of the family: Transfer RNA (tRNA) molecules are approximately 80 nucleotides in length. Their secondary structure includes four short double-helical elements and three loops (D, anti-codon, and T loops). Lineage: Bacteria; Pseudomonadati; Bdellovibrionota; Bdellovibrionia; Bdellovibrionales. The record is from RNAcentral.